UACGAAGGGGGCUAGCGUUGCUCGGAAUCACUGGGCGUAAAGCGCACGUAGGCGGACUCUUAAGUCAGGGGUGAAAUCCUGGAGCUCAACUCCAGAACUGCCUUUGAUACUGAGAGCCUUGAGUUCGGGAGAGGUGAGUGGAACUGCGAGUGUAGAGGUGAAAUUCGUAGAUAUCGAGAGGAACACCUGCGGCGAAGGCGGGUUGCUGGGCUGACACUGACGCUGAACUGCGAAAGCUAGGGGAGCGAACAGG
RNAcentral lists this ribosomal RNA (253 nucleotides) under uncultured bacterium. RNAcentral describes it as "partial 16S ribosomal RNA". It matches the Rfam family "Bacterial small subunit ribosomal RNA", at positions 524 to 776 of the family's 1533-position model. The record is from RNAcentral.